GAUGAACGCUGGCGGCGUGCCUAAUACAUGCAAGUCGAGCGAACGGACGAGAAGCUUGCUUCUCUGAUGUUAGCGGCGGACGGGUGAGUAACACGUGGAUAACCUACCUAUAAGACUGGGAUAACUUCGGGAAACCGGAGCUAAUACCGGAUAAUAUUUUGAACCGCAUGGUUCAAAAGUGAAAGACGGUCUUGCUGUCACUUAUAGAUGGAUCCGCGCUGCAUUAGCUAGUUGGUAAGGUAACGGCUUACCAAGGCAACGAUGCAUAGCCGACCUGAGAGGGUGAUCGGCCACACUGGAACUGAGACACGGUCCAGACUCCUACGGGAGGCAGCAGUAGGGAAUCUUCCGCAAUGGGCGAAAGCCUGACGGAGCAACGACGCGUGAGUGAUGAAGGUCUUCGGAUCGUAAAACUCUGUUAUUAGGGAAGAACAUAUGUGUAAGUAACUGUGCAAAUCUUGACGGUACCUAAUCAGAAAGACACGGCUAACUACGUG
Molecule: ribosomal RNA, 497 nt
Filed under: uncultured bacterium
Lineage: Bacteria
Description: partial 16S ribosomal RNA
Rfam family: Bacterial small subunit ribosomal RNA
Source: RNAcentral